UCCCUGGUGGCUCAGAUGGUGAAGCAUCUGUCUACAAUGCAGGAGACCCAGGUUCAAUCCCUGGGUUGGGAA
RNAcentral lists this transfer RNA (72 nucleotides) under Bos taurus (domestic cattle). It matches the Rfam family "tRNA". From Rfam's summary of the family: Transfer RNA (tRNA) molecules are approximately 80 nucleotides in length. Their secondary structure includes four short double-helical elements and three loops (D, anti-codon, and T loops). Lineage: Eukaryota; Metazoa; Chordata; Mammalia; Artiodactyla; Bovidae. RNAcentral also lists the same sequence under 2 other names. The record is from Rfam by way of RNAcentral.